AGAGCAACAGGGAUUGCCCCAGUAACGGCGAGUGAAGCGGCAGGAGCUCAAAUUUGAAAUCUGGGGCCCCCGGCCUCCGAGUUGUAAUUUGGAGAGGCUCCUUCGGGGGGGAGCGCUGGCCCAUGUUCCUUGGAACAGGACGUCGCAGAGGGUGAGAAUCCCGUGCCAGGCCGGCUGCCUCCUCCCGCGUGAAGGGCCUUCGACGAGUCGAGUUGUUUGGGAAUGCAGCUCCAAGUGGGUGGUAAAUUUCAUCUAAAGCUAAAUACCGGCGGGAGACCGAUAGCGCACAAGUAGAGUGAUCGAAAGAUGAAAAGCACUUUGAAAAUAGAGUCAAAAAGUACGUGAAAUUGUUGAAAGGGAAGCGCUUGAGACCAGACUCAGACCCAGGCAAACACCGCGCCCCCAGGGGCCGUGCAAUUGCCCGGUGCUGGGCCAGCAUCAGUUGGCGUGGCGGGACAAGGGCGCGGGAAAUGUGGCUCCCCUCGGGGAGUGUUAUCAGGCCCGCGCCGGAUGCCGCCGACGCCGACUGAGGACCGCGCCUCGGCUAGGAUGCUGGCUUAAUGGCCUUCAGCGACCCGUCUUGAAACACGGACCAAGGAGUCUAACAUCUAUGCGAGUGUUUGGGCGCCAAACCCUUGCGCGGAAUGAAAGUGAGCGGAGGUGGGAACCCCUCGCCGGGCGCACCAUCGACCGAUCCUGAUGUCUUCGGAUGGAUUUGAGUAGGAGCAUAGCUGUUGGGACCCGAAAGAUGGUGAACUAUGCCUGAAUAGGGUGAAGCCAGAGGAAACUCUGGUGGAGGCUCGCAGCGGUUCUGACGUGCAAAUCGAUCGUCAAAUUUGGGUAUAGGGGCGAAAGACUAAUCGAACCAUCUAGUAGCUGGUCCUGCG
Molecule: ribosomal RNA, 887 nt
Filed under: Helvella involuta
Lineage: Eukaryota; Fungi; Ascomycota; Pezizomycetes; Pezizales; Helvellaceae
Description: eukaryotic LSU rRNA
Rfam family: Eukaryotic large subunit ribosomal RNA
Source: RNAcentral